UUUUAUGUAACAUACAGAAUGGACUUUACAAGCGUUUGAAAGAGAGACUGCGGAGGAAGUGGUCGGUUGGUCAGGAAGUGAAUGGCGGAGUCGAAUGAGUUGUGUUGCAGGUGUUUAAACACCAAAGAACGUGGCGUUCCCAGCAGUCUGAGCGGACAUGGAUGAAUCAUCUUCACUUCUCAUUAGCAGUGAUGAAUAUUUUCUCCAACUGUUGCCAACAACGCUGGAUGAGACAAGUCUGCAUGAACAGUAGGAAAGCAACAGUAAUUACAUAUUACCACAGAACCACAACUACGUGCCCACCGUACCAGUCAUGGAUGGAACAGAAUGUGUAGCAGUCUACCUCCAGAGUAUUGUUGCUUUUUCCCUAGAAUACUUCAGAGGUUCCUCUUUCGCCCUAGUAUCUUAAUUUACAAAUUGGGGAUAAAUAUUUUUAAAAUUCAUUAUAUUUGAAAGAUACAACUGUAUGUGUGUCAUCCAGUUGAUAAUUUCUAAGACCUAAACACAAUCCAUACUUUAAAAUUAUAUAUAAAUUAAAUCACAUUUUACAAUUAUCAUUUUGCUAUAAAACAAAGCAUUUGAUAUGGUCACAAAUUGUUGCCUAGUUUUUGUUCAGAACAGGCUUGUAGCUCUGCCUACAUUCUGCCUUCAUCAGAGUGGGAUUUGGGAGUCUUUACCAGAACUUAAACGGUCCAGCCAAGUCCCCUGUUAGACUGCGUCUCUGGUGGUAAGACUCUCCACUCCCUCGUAGCAACUUCCUGCACUUUGUUGCCGAGUUUCCUAAUUCCAGUGGCCAUUUUUCGUUCUGGGCGGAACGCAGCUGGUACUGGUAGCACAAAUGUUGGGCUGUGGCUUGCAGGAUGUAACUGUUCCCCAUUUUGAUAUGGUUGUAAGGUAGUUAUUUAGAGGUCUGUCUCAGUAUAGCGAUUACAUUUUAUUGCCGUCUUGUGCCGCGUGCCACAAUUUUGGCUGCCGCUGAACUUAAACUCUGAAGAUUAUCAGCAGUUUGCAGGUGUUUCUCCGCCAUAAAAAUGCUGUUAUUCAUAGGAAUAGACUGCGCUUAGCUAUUUAUCCAGUGAUGUUGUGCAUAAACUGCGUUGAUUUACUUUUUUCAUUUGUGGGUUCUGUUGUCACAAAGCGAGUUUCUCCUCAGGAACCUGCAUUAAAAGAAAAUAGAUGUAUCGGAUUACCUUCUGAUAUUUUUAUAGCACCAUUGCUCCUUUCUUUAUUUCGUGAGCUACUUCAUCCAUUUUCCCUGGGCGAAGCAUUCUUCUUACAUUCCAAGUUGCAAUACUUAAGUCACAUUUUUGCCUUUGAU
Molecule: non-coding RNA, 1318 nt
Organism: Zootermopsis nevadensis
Lineage: Eukaryota; Metazoa; Arthropoda; Insecta; Blattodea; Termopsidae
Source: RefSeq, a predicted model, not a curated record